RNAcentral lists this microRNA precursor (96 nucleotides) under Podarcis lilfordi (Lilford's wall lizard). The record is from RNAcentral. Lineage: Eukaryota; Metazoa; Chordata; Lepidosauria; Squamata; Lacertidae.
ACCUUAGAGACCAACUAAGUUUGUUAUUGGUAUGAGCUUUCGUGUGCAUGCACACAAAAGCUCAUACCAAUAACAAACUUAGUUGGUCUCUAAGGU